GCCCACAUCGCAUAAUCAGGAAUUGCUGGAGGUCUUAAAAACCUUUUGUCUGCCAAGACUUACGGGUUCAAAUCCCGUCGUGGGUG
Molecule: transfer RNA, 86 nt
Filed under: Nanobdellota archaeon
Lineage: Archaea; Nanobdellati; Nanobdellota
Description: tRNA-Leu
Rfam family: tRNA
About the family: Transfer RNA (tRNA) molecules are approximately 80 nucleotides in length.
Source: RNAcentral